Molecule: ribosomal RNA, 407 nt
Filed under: uncultured bacterium
Lineage: Bacteria
Description: partial 16S ribosomal RNA
Rfam family: Bacterial small subunit ribosomal RNA
Source: RNAcentral
GACGAACGCUGGCGGCGUGCCUAAUACAUGCAAGUAGAACGCAGUUGCGAACGGGUGAGUAACGCGUAGGUAACUGCCUCAUAGCGGGGGAUAACUAUUGGAAACGAUAGCUAAUACCGCAUACUGUGAGAUGGACCUGCGUUGUAUUAGCUAGUUGGUGAGGUAAAGGCUCACCAAGGCGACGAUACAUAGCCGACCUGGGAGGGUUGUUGGCCAACAUGGGACCGAGACACGGCCCAGGACCCUACGGGAGGCAGCCGUUGGGAAUCCUCGGCCAUUGACGGAAGUCCUGACGAGCAAAGCCGCGUUAGUGAAGAAAGUUUUCGGAUCGUAAAGCGCUUGUUUUAGAGAAGCGGUAACUAACCAGAAAGGGACGGCUAACUAACUGCCAGCAGCCCCGGUAAUAC